AAGCAUCGCUGCUAAACUAAAGCAUACAAUAAUCUAAUAUUUUGUAUUUUAUCGAUAAUUUUGAUAUAUCUUUAUAUUAUUUAAAUUUUCAUGAUUUGAUAAUUAUGGUUAAGAAAACAAUUAAUGGCAAUAAUAUAAUACAUAUGUGUAUAAGAAUAUAUGUUAUUUAAGUUUAGUGUCUUUUGGUAUUGUAUAUGGUAAAAGUGAAAUCAUAUUUACAAUUACAAUAACUGUACAUUAUUGAAAGUAAUAGGUGGCCAAAUCUGGGCCAAGAGAAAGUUUAAUAAAAAAACUUACUUAGGUAUAUAUAAUCAAAAAAGUAUAUAAAUACCAAUCACUUAUGAAAGUUACAAGUUAUACUUUAUAAGAUCAUUCUAUCUUAAUCUCCAUUUUACAAAGUACUUUACGAUGCAAAUAUUUUGUGUAAAUUACAAGAAAUACAUCCUUGUAUACUUACUUCUAAAUACAAUAUGUGUUAUUACUUGUAAUAAAUCAACAUCAACUAAUCUUUUAUCAAAGUUAGAAUAUAUGAAUAAAUUAAAAAGACCUGUAUAUACAUUUGUUAAAACUGACAAAGAGGCGAAUAUUAAGUGGGGUGUGCGCCAUUACGUUCCCAGAAUGAGUGAAAUAAAAGUUAAUUGAACAGUGUAAUUUAAGAGCGCAACAACAGGCAUUCUUAAAUGAAAAAAAAUUAUUAUGAGCUAUUUGAUGCAUUUAUAUAUUGUUGAUAUCGGGUAUAACUCUAUUAUUUCUUUCUGAUUUUAUGGAUUAAAACUAUAUAUUUCUUGAUACAUUUUA
Vespa velutina is the source of this 798-nucleotide long non-coding RNA. RefSeq lists it as uncharacterized. NCBI's taxonomy places the organism in Eukaryota, Metazoa, Arthropoda, Insecta, Hymenoptera, Vespidae. The record is from RefSeq and is a predicted model, not a curated record. The transcript is spliced from 3 exons.